AACGAACGCUGGCGCAUGCCUAACACAUGCCAGUCGCACGAGACCUUCGGGUCUAGUGGCGCACGGGUGCGUAACGCGUGGGAACCUGCCCUUAGGUUCGGAAUAACUCCCCGAAAGGGGUGCUAAUACCGGAUAAUGUCUUCGGACCAAAGAUUUAUCGCCUUUGGAUGGGCCCGCGUUGGAUUAGCUAGUUGGUAGGGUAAAAGCCUACCAAGGCGACGAUCCAUAGCUGGUCUGAGAGGAUGAUCAGCCACACUGGGACUGAGACACGGCCCAGACUCCUACGGGAGGCAGCAGUGGGGAAUAUUGGACAAUGGGCGAAAGCCUGAUCCAGCAAUGCCGCGUGAGUGAUGAAGGCCUUAGGGUUGUAAAGCUCUUUUACCCGGGAUGAUAAUGACAGUACCGGGAGAAUAAGCUCCGGCUAACUCCGUG
RNAcentral lists this ribosomal RNA (432 nucleotides) under uncultured bacterium. RNAcentral describes it as "partial 16S ribosomal RNA". It matches the Rfam family "Bacterial small subunit ribosomal RNA", at positions 29 to 507 of the family's 1533-position model. The record is from RNAcentral.